AAUACAACAGCUGCCACUCUACAGAGGCUCCAGCUUAACCUUUUGUUGUACUGGCAUCAGAACGACGAGAACAAACAUUGUAUCCUAUCCCAACAUGAAGUACAUCAAGGGGAUUAAAGUCCUCUAUUUCCAGAACAGUUCCUACACUCAUUUGAUUACAUUAAAUCUCAACUUCAAUUAAAAUAAAACAACAAGAAGUACUAGUCCCCAUGAUUGUUGUGGAAAAACUUGAAAUUGUGACCACUGGAGGCUAGGACACCAGAAAGCA
Molecule: long non-coding RNA, 268 nt
Organism: Alligator sinensis (Chinese alligator)
Lineage: Eukaryota; Metazoa; Chordata; Crocodylia; Alligatoridae
Exons: 3
Source: RefSeq, a predicted model, not a curated record